This 24-nucleotide unclassified non-coding RNA is filed under the name Mus musculus (house mouse). Its description in RNAcentral is "oocyte_clustered_small_RNA4449". Lineage: Eukaryota; Metazoa; Chordata; Mammalia; Rodentia; Muridae. The record is from RNAcentral.
UCCUCUAAUUUUACUAGUUGCUGG